RNAcentral lists this ribosomal RNA (480 nucleotides) under uncultured bacterium. RNAcentral's name for it is "partial 16S ribosomal RNA". It matches the Rfam family "Bacterial small subunit ribosomal RNA", at positions 28 to 506 of the family's 1533-position model. The record is from RNAcentral.
GAUGAACGCUGGCGGCGUGCUUAACACAUGCAAGUCGAACGAAGCACUUUAUUUGAUUUCCUUCGGGACUGAUUAUUUUGUGACUGAGUGGCGGACGGGUGAGUAACGCGUGGGUAACCUGCCUUGUACAGGGGGAUAGCAGUUGGAAACGGCUGCUAAUACCGCAUAAGCGCACAGCAUCGCAUGAUGCAGUGUGAAAAACUCCGGUGGUAUAAGAUGGACCCGCGUUGGAUUAGCUAGUUGGUGAGGUAACGGCCCACCAAGGCGACGAUCCAUAGCCGACCUGAGAGGGUGACCGGCCACAUUGGGACUGAGACACGGCCCAAACUCCUACGGGAGGCAGCAGUGGGGAAUAUUGCACAAUGGGCGAAAGCCUGAUGCAGCGACGCCGCGUGAGCGAAGAAGUAUUUCGGUAGGUAAAGCUCUAUCAGCAGGGAAGAUAAUGACGGUACCUGACUAAGAAGCACCGGCUAAAUACGU